Molecule: ribosomal RNA, 417 nt
Filed under: bacterium enrichment culture clone ALO1_GLFRUDD03HA9LU
Lineage: Bacteria
Description: bacterial SSU rRNA
Rfam family: Bacterial small subunit ribosomal RNA
Source: RNAcentral
GAGUUUGAUCGUGGCUCAGAUUGAACGCUGGCGGCAUGCCUUACACAUGCAAGUCGAACGGCAGCACGGGAGCUUGCUCCUGGUGGCGAGUGGCGAACGGGUGAGUAAUGCAUCGGAACGUAUCCUGGAGUGGGGGAUAACGUAACGAAGUUACGCUAAUACCGCAUAUUCUGUGAGCAGGAAAGCGGGGGACCUUCGGGCCUCGCGCUCUUGGAGCGGCCGAUGUCGGAUUAGCUAGUUGGUGAGGUAAAGGCUCACCAAGGCGACGAUCCGUAGCAGGUCUGAGAGGAUGAUCUGCCACACUGGAACUGAGACACGGUCCAGACUCCUACGGGAGGCAGCAGUGGGGAAUUUUGGACAAUGGGGGCAACCCUGAUCCAGCCAUGCCGCGUGAGUGAAGAAGGCCUCGGUUGUAAG